This 733-nucleotide ribosomal RNA is filed under the name uncultured eukaryote. Its description in RNAcentral is "SSU rRNA". It matches the Rfam family "Eukaryotic small subunit ribosomal RNA", at positions 557 to 1295 of the family's 1831-position model. The record is from RNAcentral.
UAGUCUGGUGCCAGCAGCCGCGGUAAUUCCAGCUCCAAUAGCGUAUAUUAAAGUUGUUGCAGUUAAAACGCUCGUAGUCGGAUUUCGGGGCAGGUUUGCCGGUCUGCCGAUGGGUAUGCACUGGUAGAACUGUCCUUCCUUCCGGAGACGGCGCCUACUCUUAACUGAGCGGGUGUCGGAGACGGAUCGUUUACUUUGAAAAAAUCAGAGUGUUUCAAGCAGGCAGCUCGCUUUUGCAUGGAUUAGCAUGGGAUAAUGAAAUAGGACUUUGGUGCUAUUUUGUUGGUUUCGAACACCGAAGUAAUGAUUAACAGGGACAGUCAGGGGCACUCGUAUUCCGCCGAGAGAGGUGAAAUUCUUAGACCAGCGGAAGAUGAACCACUGCGAAAGCAUUUGCCAGGGAUGUUUUCACUGAUCAAGAACGAAAGUUAGGGGAUCGAAGACGAUCAGAUACCGUCGUAGUCUUAACCAUAAACCAUGCCGACUAGGGAUUGGAGGAUGUUCCUAUGUGACUCCUUCAGCACCUUUCGGGAAACUAAAGUCUUUGGGUUCCGGGGGGAGUAUGGUCGCAAGGCUGAAACUUAAAGGAAUUGACGGAAGGGCACCACCAGGAGUGGAGCCUGCGGCUUAAUUUGACUCAACACGGGGAAACUUACCAGGUCCAGACAUUGUGAGGAUUGACAGAUUGAGAGCUCUUUCUUGAUUCGAUGGGUGGUGGUGCAUGGCCGUUCUU